Molecule: long non-coding RNA, 1923 nt
Organism: Myotis brandtii (Brandt's bat)
Lineage: Eukaryota; Metazoa; Chordata; Mammalia; Chiroptera; Vespertilionidae
Exons: 2
Source: RefSeq, a predicted model, not a curated record
CCAUUGGCCGCGCGCGCCGCCAGUCACGCGCAUGUAAACACCUUGGCCCUCAGCCAUUCCUAUAAAACCAAUUACGGACCUGGGGGCUCCAGCAGUUUCCAGGCUCCCCUCGGCGGGGCUGAAUGAUCAAAACUGGUGGUGAGAAUUUUUCCGGGCCGUUUCUAGGCAGCCCUCCCCCUCCACCAGCUCCGACAACCCCCCUUCUCCUCCUCCUCCCUUUUCCUCCCCCUCCCCCAGCGUCUGGGCUUAGUGAUCAAAAUAGAGGAAGAUGGUUGUCGCCGCAAUCCUGGGCUUUGCAAGGCGCGGUUUAAUGGACCGCCUGUCAGCUUCCUGCUCGCAGGAGGAGGUGACAAGCCGAGCGAACCGGGAAGGGCCCGGGGCCCAGCAGGCUGCACCCCGCGCCCGGGCUCCGGUCCCCCUCCACCCCGGGGACGCGACUUCUAGAACGCGCGGUGACGACGCCAAAACAGACUAGGGCUGCUUUUUCCUCCCGCCCCCCCCCCUUUAAAACAAAGCAGCGAUUCAUCCCCUCUCCCCCCAGCAGCGCGGUUAGGUAGGAUGGGCUGGCGAGAAGGUCGCUUUCCUAGCCCAGGCCUGCGGGUCCCUCCCUGAAACGCGGUGUCAGAUGGUUACUGAUUAAUAUUUUGGCGAGGCCUCGGCGGCCGGCAGCGGCAAAAUCCUUUCUGGUUUGAGUCGCCGGGAGCUGCCCGCGGCAACCUACUUGGCUGCUGGCGUGAGGAGCGCGGAUGCGGCGCGUCGGAGGGACCCCGCACCCUCCGCACCCGCGGGGACGGCCAGGCAUUACGUACCCUCAAUAGGAAGCUGGGAAGGGCAGACGUCCUAGCCGCUCCAGCCUCGGCGAGCUACCGCGGUGAUUGGAUUUUUUUAUUGGGUUUUAAUUAAAACAAGAGGACCCCGCUCUUCCCCCCCCCCACCCCCCGCACUGCGGACUCAGCGUUUGGCGUUGCCUGUUCUAUUUUUUUAAAUAAAUUUUUAAGGCAACUUUUCUUGGGAGAGGGGGGAAUUAGCUAGUUAGCGCCCAUUAGUUCUAUUUUCUUUUAUCCACUUUUAGAAAACAAGAGGGGUGAGCGUCCAGAGCUAACUGGGGCUGUCUAAUUUAAUUCCAGAAUAAAUUUGGGGGAAAAGUUCAGCCCCUUGAGGACAGUUUCAAGUUGCCCUUCCCGAAGCCUCCAGCGCUGGUUUCUAGGCUGCCCUCUUUUGGAAGCAGAAGCUCCGCGGGGGGAGGAAGGAGGGGUGAGAAGGAAAGAAGAAAGGAACGAAAAUAGCCGAAUCCGAGGGGAACUAGCGGCGGUGUCCUCGCUUGGAGCAGGGCGCACAGGUCUCGGUGGUGGCCGGGCAGCCCCGGGCAGCCAGGAGCAGAGACGGAGAGGAGGGGGUGAGGGGAGAGAAAGGAGGUAUUGUGUCUGUGUUCCUUGGAGGAGGGGGAUGGCUGCAGAAAUAAAAUAAACGCAGUUGUGCUGGCGAGGCUGCUGGAAGCCCAGGCAGGGGAAGGGGCCGAGCGCGGGGGCGCAGCCCUGGUGGGCGCCGAGCGUCCUCCAGUCUUAUCCCGAGGCCUCUGUGGGUUCCUUGUAAACCCCCCCACGCCAGAGCCCCGUCGCUUCCCCACCCCUCGGGUUGCCCUCCAAUAUUCGGAGCUCAGACCCCGCUUCCCCUCACCCCUUGUCUCCGCCCAGGUCUGGAAUGUUUUCUUUUCUUUUAAUAUAGCGCAAGGAAAAAAAUGUGUCUUGAGAGCCGGGGUGGGGAUCACAAAGCGCUCGCAGGGUGGAAAAUAACAAAGCCUAUUUUUAUAAAUGUUUAAUGUUUUCCCCCCUGGAUGCUCCAAGACGCCGUAAUUGUGACGGCGGGGCAUGUGUGCCAUAAAUCAUUUAGUUGCUAAUAAAAAUUCUGCCUGUUUGCCCUGGA